AACCUUUAGCUAAAAAAAUAUUAAAGGCAACGCCUGCCCAGUGAACAAUUAAACGGCCGCGGUACCCUAACCGUGCAAAGGUAGCAUAAUCAUUUGUCUACUAAUUAUAGACCUGUAUGAAAGGCAAAAUGAGGGUCAAACUGUCUCUUAUAACAAAUCAAUUAAACUGAUCUUCUAGUAAAAAAGCUAGGAUUCCAACAUAAGACCAGAAGACCCUGUGAAGCUUAAACUAAACUAUUAAAACCAAUAAUAGCUACUUUCGGUUGGGGCGACCUUGGAAAAAAAAAGAACUUCCAAAAACCAUUAUAAUAAUAUAAUAUACAGGCCCACGAGCCAAACUACGACCCAGCAAAGCUGAAAAUUGAAACAAGUUACUCCAGGGAUAACAGCGCAAUCUUCUUCAAGAGCCCAUAUCAAAAAGAAGGUUUACGACCUCGAUGUUGGAUCAGGACAUCCUAAUGGUGCAGCAGCUAUUAAGGGUUCGUUUGUUCAACGAUUAACAGUCCU
RNAcentral lists this ribosomal RNA (507 nucleotides) under Dendrelaphis cyanochloris. Its description in RNAcentral is "partial 16S ribosomal RNA". It matches the Rfam family "Bacterial large subunit ribosomal RNA", at positions 1816 to 2597 of the family's 2925-position model. The record is from RNAcentral. Lineage: Eukaryota; Metazoa; Chordata; Lepidosauria; Squamata; Colubridae.